UGGGCAAUGCCCGCAAGGGUGACCCAGCAACGCCGCGUGGAGGAUGAAUGUCGUAAGAUUGUAAACUCCUGUUAGAGGGGAAGAAUAGUACCGGUUGGACCGGUAUAUGACUGUACCCUCAGAGAAAGCCCCGGCUAACUACGUGCCAGCAGCCGCGGUAAUACGUAGGGGGCAAGCGUUGUCCGGAUUUACUGGGUGUAAAGGGCGCGCAGGCGGGAUAAAAAGUCAGUGGUGAAAUCCUACAGCUUAACUGUAGAACUGCCUUUGAUACUUUUAGUCCUGAGGUCGGGAGAGGAAGACGGAAUUCCAGGUGAAGUGGUGAAAUACGUAGAUAUCUGGAAGAACACCCGUUGCGAAGGCGGUCUCUUGGUCCGCAACGGACGCUGAGGCGCGAA
Molecule: ribosomal RNA, 395 nt
Filed under: uncultured bacterium
Lineage: Bacteria
Description: bacterial SSU rRNA
Rfam family: Bacterial small subunit ribosomal RNA
Source: RNAcentral